CAGCAGCCGCGGUAAUACGAAGGGUGCAAGCGUUAAUCGGAAUUACUGGGCGUAAAGCGUGCGUAGGCGGUGAGUUAAGUCUGCUGUGAAAUCCCCGGGCUCAACCUGGGAAUGGCAGUGGAUACUGGCUCGCUAGAGUGUGUCAGAGGAUGGUGGAAUUCCCGGUGUAGCGGUGAAAUGCGUAGAGAUCGGGAGGAACAUCAGUGGCGAAGGCAGCCCCCUGGGCCAAUACUGACGCUCAUGCACGAAAGCGUGGGGAGCAAACAGGAUUAGAUACCCGCGUAGUCCCUGUCUCUUAUAC
Molecule: ribosomal RNA, 301 nt
Filed under: uncultured bacterium
Lineage: Bacteria
Description: partial 16S ribosomal RNA
Rfam family: Bacterial small subunit ribosomal RNA
Source: RNAcentral